RNAcentral lists this ribosomal RNA (478 nucleotides) under uncultured bacterium. Its description in RNAcentral is "partial 16S ribosomal RNA". It matches the Rfam family "Bacterial small subunit ribosomal RNA", at positions 28 to 507 of the family's 1533-position model. The record is from RNAcentral.
GAUGAACGCUAGCGGGAGGCCUAACACAUGCAAGCCGAGCGGUAUUUGUUCUUCGGAACAGAGAGAGCGGCGCACGGGUGCGGAACACGUGUGCAACCUGCCUUUAUCUGGGGAUAGCCUUUCGAAAGGAAGAUUAAUACCCCAUAAUAUAUUGAGUGGCAUCACUUGAUAUUGAAAACUCCGGUGGAUAGAGAUGGGCACGCGCAAGAUUAGAUAGUUGGUGAGGUAACGGCUCACCAAGUCAAUGAUCUUUAGGGGGCCUGAGAGGGUGAUCCCCCACACUGGUACUGAGACACGGACCAGACUCCUACGGGAGGCAGCAGUGAGGAAUAUUGGACAAUGGGUUAGCGCCUGAUCCAGCCAUCCCGCGUGAAGGACGACGGCCCUAUGGGUUGUAAACUUCUUUUGUAUAGGGAUAAACCUACUCUCGUGAGAGUAGCUGAAGGUACUAUACGAAUAAGCACCGGCUAACUCCGUG